This 243-nucleotide ribosomal RNA is filed under the name uncultured soil bacterium. RNAcentral describes it as "partial 16S ribosomal RNA". It matches the Rfam family "Bacterial small subunit ribosomal RNA", at positions 26 to 297 of the family's 1533-position model. The record is from RNAcentral.
AGAACGAACGCUGGCGGCAUGCCUAACACAUGCAAGUCGAACGAGACCUUCGGGUCUAGUGGCGCACGGGUGCGUAACGCGUGGGAAUCUGCCCUUGGGUUCGGAAUAACAGUUGGAAACGACUGCUAAUACCGGAUGAUGACGUAAGUCCAAAGAUUUAUCGCCCAGGGAUGAGCCCGCGUAGGAUUAGCUAGUUGGUGAGGUAAAAGCUCACCAAGCCGACGAUCUGUAGCUGGUUUGAGA